This 73-nucleotide transfer RNA is filed under the name Narcine brasiliensis. Its description in RNAcentral is "tRNA-Thr". It matches the Rfam family "tRNA". Rfam says of the family: Transfer RNA (tRNA) molecules are approximately 80 nucleotides in length. Their secondary structure includes four short double-helical elements and three loops (D, anti-codon, and T loops). Further hydrogen bonds mediate the characteristic L-shaped molecular structure. tRNAs have two regions of fundamental functional importance: the anti-codon, which is responsible for specific mRNA codon recognition, and the 3' end, to which the tRNAs corresponding amino acid is attached (by aminoacyl-tRNA synthetases). tRNAs cope with the degeneracy of the genetic code in two manners: having more than one tRNA (with a specific anti-codon) for a particular amino acid; and 'wobble' base-pairing, i.e. permitting non-standard base-pairing at the 3rd anti-codon position. The record is from RNAcentral. Lineage: Eukaryota; Metazoa; Chordata; Chondrichthyes; Torpediniformes; Narcinidae.
GUCCAGGUAGCCUAAUACUAAAGGCAUUGGUCUUGUAAACCAAAGACUGAAAGUGAAAAUCUUUCCCAAGACU